RNAcentral lists this ribosomal RNA (486 nucleotides) under uncultured bacterium. RNAcentral describes it as "partial 16S ribosomal RNA". It matches the Rfam family "Bacterial small subunit ribosomal RNA", at positions 30 to 507 of the family's 1533-position model. The record is from RNAcentral.
AUUGAACGCUGGCGGCAUGCCUUACACAUGCAAGUCGAACGGCAGCACGGGUGCUUGCACCUGGUGGCGAGUGGCGAACGGGUGAGUAAUACAUCGGAACAUGUCCUGUAGUGGGGGAUAGCCCGGCGAAAGCCGGAUUAAUACCGCAUACGAUCUACGGAUGAAAGCGGGGGACCUUCGGGCCUCGCGCUAUAGGGUUGGCCGAUGGCUGAUUAGCUAGUUGGUGGGGUAAAGGCCUACCAAGGCGACGAUCAGUAGCUGCUCUGAGAGGACGACCAGCAACACUGGGACUGGGACACGGCCCAGACUCCUACGGGAGGCAGCAGUGGGGAAUUUUGGACAAAGGGCGAAAGCCUGCUCCAGCAAUGCCGCGUGUGUGAAGAAGGCCUUCGGGUUGUAAAGCACUUUUGUCCGGAAAGAAAACCUUGGCCCUAAUACGGUCGGGGGAUGACGGUACCGGAAGAAUAAGCACCGGCUAACUACGUG